This 129-nucleotide small nucleolar RNA is filed under the name Procavia capensis (Cape rock hyrax). Its description in RNAcentral is "Small nucleolar RNA SNORA3/SNORA45 family (ENSPCAG00000019708.1)". It matches the Rfam family "Small nucleolar RNA SNORA3/SNORA45 family". Rfam says of the family: The members of this family belong to the H/ACA class of snoRNAs which are thought to guide the sites of modification of uridines to pseudouridines. This family includes mouse snoMBI-28 and human homologues ACA3 (SNORA3) and ACA3-2 (SNORA45). Lineage: Eukaryota; Metazoa; Chordata; Mammalia; Hyracoidea; Procaviidae. The record is from RNAcentral.
GUUGAGGCUAGAGUCACGCUUGGGUAUUGGUGUUGCCUUAACGUGCUAUAGUCCUCAAAGAGUGACUGCUGACCUUAUUCACUGGCUGUGAGCCUUGUGGCACAGUCAGUCACCAGGUUAGCAACAUGC